Arabidopsis thaliana x Arabidopsis arenosa is the source of this 107-nucleotide non-coding RNA. The record is from the annotation of a GenBank genome assembly. NCBI's taxonomy places the organism in Eukaryota, Viridiplantae, Streptophyta, Magnoliopsida, Brassicales, Brassicaceae.
AAACCGUGAUGGGGGCACAGAGUGGUGUAGCUUUUGAACAUUUCCCAGGCUUCACAGAAAGUUUUAUUGUUUUUCAGUGUGAACCCGGAGAUCUCGGUCCUCAAUCU